RNAcentral lists this ribosomal RNA (253 nucleotides) under uncultured bacterium. RNAcentral's name for it is "partial 16S ribosomal RNA". It matches the Rfam family "Bacterial small subunit ribosomal RNA", at positions 524 to 776 of the family's 1533-position model. The record is from RNAcentral.
UACGUAGGGUGCGAGCGUUAAUCGGAAUUACUGGGCGUAAAGUGUGCGCAGGUGGCCGCGCAAGUCGAGUGUGAAAUCCCCGAGCUUAACUUGGGAAUUGCGCUCGAAACUACGUGGCUCGAGUGUGGCAGAGGAAGGUGGAAUUCCACGUGUAGCGGUGAAAUGCGUAGAGAUGUGGAGGAACACCGGUGGCGAAGGCGGCAUCCUGGACCGGUAUUGACGCUGAGGCGCGAAAGCCAGGGGAGCAAACGGG